UUAUAGUCAUUUGACUUCGCGCUCAGACGGUAUAAUCUUCCUUUCAGGUAAAAAAAAAUGGGUUUCCAUGGGUGCCGUCGGCAGGCUGACCGCCCCCCCCGCCCGCGCCCCGACGCAAGGCCGUGGGGGGGGGGGAGGGACGAGCUGCCGAAGCAACUGAGGCUUUUCACAUUGGGUUACGGGCUGCAGGCCCCCAUGGACGGGGACCCUCGCCGUUCGGCCGGUGAAGGCCGGUUUCUUUUUUAAUGAUCCUUCCGCAGGUUCACCUACGGAAA
Molecule: unclassified non-coding RNA, 275 nt
Filed under: uncultured fungus
Lineage: Eukaryota; Fungi
Description: sequence contains ITS1
Source: RNAcentral